Molecule: unclassified non-coding RNA, 438 nt
Filed under: fungal sp.
Lineage: Eukaryota; Fungi
Description: partial internal transcribed spacer region
Rfam family: Eukaryotic small subunit ribosomal RNA (bases 1-46)
Source: RNAcentral
AAGUCGUAACAAGGUUUCCGUAGGUGAACCUGCGGAAGGAUCAUUAACACGUUAUCCACGUAUCAACCAACGAGAAUCGUUUUCACUACCUCUCUUUCGGGGAAUGAACUGAGCUAGCUUAGCAGUCAGGAUGGGAUGUUUACGUCAGACUCUCUAGCCACUUAUGACAGAAAAUUCACUUAGUUUAAUCUCUGGAGUUUUCAGCGUACACAUAGUUGAAUCUAUGGUGCGUGUUGUAGACAGUUGUAUCUUUCGGAAGUCUAAUCUCAUCAGACCGUCGCCAAUCCUGAUCAUCUGAUGGGAAACCUACUUUACCAAUUUCACCCCCUUUUUGCUAGUUGACUUUUAUAUGUUGCAUGUGAGCUUCGGCGAGUGUGCACACGUUUAAUUAUUUGAACGUUAAAAAUACAACUCUUAGCAAUGGAUAUCUAGGUUCUC